GAUGAACGCUAGCUACAGGCUUAACACAUGCAAGUCGAGAGACCGGCGCCCGGGUGAGUCACACGUAUCCAACCUGCCCUUUACUCGGGGAUAGCCUUUCGAAAGAAAGAUUAAUACCCGAUAUAAAGGAUGGGGAUGCGUUGCAUUAGGUUGUUGGGGAGGUAACGGCUCACCAAGCCUUCGAUGGAUAGGGGUUCUGAGAGGAAGGGCCCCCACAUUGGAACGUGGAAACGGUCCAAACUGCGACGGGAGGCAGCAGUGAUGAAUAGUCGUCAAUGGGCGCUAGCCUGAACCAGCCAAGUAGCGUGAAGGAUGAAGGCCUAGGGGUCGUAACCUUCUUUUAGAUAAGAAUAUGUAUUAUAUGAAUAAGGAUCGGCUAACUCCGUGCCAGCAGCCGCGGUAAUAC
RNAcentral lists this ribosomal RNA (406 nucleotides) under uncultured bacterium. Its description in RNAcentral is "partial 16S ribosomal RNA". It matches the Rfam family "Bacterial small subunit ribosomal RNA", at positions 28 to 526 of the family's 1533-position model. The record is from RNAcentral.